GGAGAGCACAUGACACAGUCUCCUGUGAAGGUUAGAGAAGAACUCGUGGGAAUCGGUCCUCUCCUAACUCGUGAGUCCUGGGAACUGAAGCAGGUCAGGCACCUUUUGGGGCUGAGCCAAUCUUCUUACGGAUCCAGAUUCUAUCCUUCACUGCUUGCUUUGUCUCUGCCUUUGGAGCUUUUUAAAAGGAAAAGGGAAAGGCUGAGAAAAAUCACCAGAAAUAACCGAAGACCUGUAGGACCUCAACAAAGUGGUGCAUACACUACAAACAGUGGGGUUUUCCAGUUCAAACAACAAUCCCAACACAUAUGGGAGAAAGGUGGGCCAGGGAGUCGGGGGAGAAUCUCUCAUGCAGGUUUUAUUGUGUCUUAUGUAGCCAAAUUACAAAAGGAAAAUGUUGAGGGAAAGGGGGAGAAUUUAUUGUUUUCUUUAUCUUUUCAGCUUGUUGACAAUGUACAAUGCAAUGUAAAUAAAACAUGGCCAGAGAGAUGGUGAGAUGCAUCCAAACUAAAGAGAUUUGCUGCUGCAAGCCUGAAGAUCCGAAUGUGAUCCUUGUGACCCGCACUACAGAAUUCGGUGCUCACAAGUCCUCUGACUCAAUGUGUGUGUCAUAGCAUGCUCACACCCACACACAUACACCCCCCAUGCCCCACACACAAUAAAUAAAUGGAAUUUAUAAAUUUUAAAAAGCAAAGCUAAAUUAAGCCAGAAAUAUUAUCAGCGAACUAGAUGUUUAAUAAAGACAUAGCCUAGCAAUUCACUACAGCAUUCCUUCCCGUGUGUGUUCCAUUGCUUUAACUGGCUACCAUUGCAAACAUUUUUCAAUGUUAACAAAAGUUACAUCGUCAUUGUCAAGUGUGUCUUAGAGCAGAUUCCCAGAGGGAGGAUUUUUGGGCAAAGUAGCAAAAAGUAAUACAAUAAAUUAUAGUUUUUCAUGAAAUCGUUAUAUAAUUUUUUGAAAUACAAAUAAUGAAGGACAAAAUGCUGACAGACCUCAACUACCAUUGACACAGCCUUGUAAGUUUUAUUUUUAGUAAGUGAUAUAUUAUUUCAAAAGUCAAAACUAUGUGGAAAGAUACACAUUGAGCUUCCUUCUUCUGUCAUGGCCAUAGUUUAUGCAAAUCCAAACAAAAAGUAUGUACAAAUGUUUUGUGUUUUCUCCCUCACCCUUUCAUAGGAUAAUACACGUCUGUACUAUCUGUCCCUGGGCUGAGUCUGUAAAGGGACACAGUUCUUUUGUUCUCAGUGAUAGGUGGCAUACAUCCUGUGAUGGAACAAGACUUUAUUCUGGCUCGUAUCUAUCUACAGGACCUGAGGGAGGCUGUGAGGCCUGAGGGAGGUUGUAAGGCAGGCAGAUCUGGAGCUGGGGCGAGGUCCUCCCGAGUCGCACACGGUGGCUUAGGUCAUCACAUCCUGAUCUCGCAUGGCUUCAUUCUCACUGGCGCAGCUGGCACACAUUGGGCUUCUUGCUUACACCCUGAUCUUCUGGAGGCAUUUUCUCAAUGGAGACUCCCUCAUCUAAGAUGACUACAGUUUCUGUCAAGUUGACGUAACACUAGCCAGCAUGUAUAGAACAGAGGCCCAAAGAAGACAGAGAUUCUGCUCUUCACUGCUCACUCUCAGUGCCUACACUUCAGCCUAACUCACAGCGAGUGCUUCGUAAGGCAGAGCCCUCAAGUGCAAAAGGAAGCAUUUGGAAUCUCUACUAGCGCUGAUGAUGAAUUCUGAAGUCUUUGCUAUCUGGGUGUUCACUGUUGAUCACUAAUGGAAGGUGCUGGGAAUGAUGGAGCCAUCUGCCUCCCUGAUUGGCAGCUGCUGGACUCUUUCUUCUUGCACUGGCUGCCUUGAGGAAAAAGAAUGUCAGCCAAACAUAGAGCCAAGACUGCAUUUGUGCCAACACCAGCUAAUUCAGAUGUCCCACAGAUACCUUGGGACAACCAUACAAAGAAGCCCCUGGCUCCUGAAGGCACAGCCUGAGCCAGGAUUAUUAAAAAGGAGUCCGAUGAGAAUCUUUGCUAUUGCUAGCAUGUACGAACUCUGGAUGACCUUACAGCUGCUCCCACCUCGCUGCUCCUAACUCAGUCAGAUGGCUAUGUAAAGCAAGUGGGGCUCAAGAGGAAUCAGCUUUGAGAUCAGAAGUAUGCGGGUUAGUUUUAUGUCAGUUUGACACCCAAACUAGAGUUAUCUGAAAGGAGGAAACCUCAACAGAGAAAAUGCCUCUCUGUAAGAUGCGGCUGUAAGGCAUUUUUCUAAUCGGUGAUUGAUGUGGGAGGGCGCAGCUCAUUGUGAGUGGUGUCACCCCUGGGCUGGUGGU
Molecule: non-coding RNA, 2314 nt
Organism: Peromyscus maniculatus bairdii (prairie deer mouse)
Lineage: Eukaryota; Metazoa; Chordata; Mammalia; Rodentia; Cricetidae
Source: RefSeq, a predicted model, not a curated record